CAGGGAAAGAGCUCAGAAAUUCCUCCCCAGAGCUGCAUUUCUGCGUGCGGCCAUGCAGCGGCACAGGAGACCAGGAAUCUGCGGGACGGGGUGAGCGAGAGGCAGGAGCUGCUCAGGUGCGGGGCUGGCAGUGUCUGAGCAGAAGGGUAGCCCAAAGAUCUUAUAUUUUUUAAAGGUUCCCUGGUGCCCAAAUGGGUUCAUCCAUGUCCAUGAGAGCUUGAACUGCUUCAUGCAAACCCUGGGGGUCCGUGCUGCUGUUCUCUGAUUCCCCAGGGCAGACACUCCAAGGACGGCUGUGAAAUGGAACUUAAAAGUAACGUUAAAAGUAACUCUGCCUUGUUACUUAACUCACUCUA
This 356-nucleotide long non-coding RNA is filed under the name Junco hyemalis (dark-eyed junco). Its description in RNAcentral is "lncRNA (ENSJHYG00000015175.1)". Lineage: Eukaryota; Metazoa; Chordata; Aves; Passeriformes; Passerellidae. The record is from RNAcentral.